RNAcentral lists this ribosomal RNA (253 nucleotides) under uncultured bacterium. Its description in RNAcentral is "partial 16S ribosomal RNA". It matches the Rfam family "Bacterial small subunit ribosomal RNA", at positions 524 to 776 of the family's 1533-position model. The record is from RNAcentral.
UACAGAGGGGGCAAGCGUUGUUCGGAAUUACUGGGCGUAAAGGGCGCGUAGGCGGCCUGUUAAGUCGAACGUGAAAUCCCCGGGCUCAACCCGGGAACUGCAUCCGAUACUGGCAGGCUUGAAUCCGGGAGAGGGAUGCGGAAUUCCAGGUGUAGCGGUGAAAUGCGUAGAUAUCUGGAGGAACACCAAUGGCGAAGGCAGCUCGCUGGGACGUGACUGACGCUGAGACGCGAAAGCGUGGGGAGCAAACAGG